Molecule: long non-coding RNA, 428 nt
Filed under: Equus caballus (horse)
Lineage: Eukaryota; Metazoa; Chordata; Mammalia; Perissodactyla; Equidae
Description: lncRNA (ENSECAG00000050554.1)
Source: RNAcentral
GUAACUUUCAGUAGCUCUCUAGGCCUGGGUACAAGAGGGAAGGAGGCGGGCGGAGGUGGGGACAUGGGUACCCCCAGUCCUUCCACCCUCCUCAUUCGUCUAGGGGCACCCAGAACCCCAAUCCUCUUUUCCCCAACACGCAGCCACUCGCAGGGUCUCUGGCCCACUUCUGUCCGGCGGCUGCCGCUCCGAGCAAGUUUUUCAGCUGUUGCUGAAUCUCCGCGGAUUUUUUUCUCGACGUGUGGACAGAGGGUGGAGCUGGCAGAGAUGGGGGACCCCAUUUUGGUUUCUGGCUUUGGUUUUGCACGGACACAAAGGAAGAGAGAAAGCUGGCUGGGGACUCAUCGCUUCUGGUCAGGGAGCUUUGGUUUAGGAGAGUUCGGGGUAAAUCCUGGCUCUGAGGACAUUCUUUUUAGCUUUAUUGUGUG